RNAcentral lists this small RNA (511 nucleotides) under Histoplasma capsulatum var. duboisii H88. Its description in RNAcentral is "Histoplasma capsulatum H88 hypothetical RNA". The record is from RNAcentral. Lineage: Eukaryota; Fungi; Ascomycota; Eurotiomycetes; Onygenales; Ajellomycetaceae.
AUCCUGCAUUCUUUGAUUUCCCCGCUGCAGACUUCUCCAGGGCUCCCAGUCCCAGCCCAUAAAUAGCAGCAUCGCCAUCCAUCCCUGCUCCCCUGUUGCUCCAAACUAAUUUAGUAGUUAACUAGUCCCCAGGAGACUCUGGUGAACAGGGUUUUUGUAUGGUACGGUGCAGCCCACCGAAAAAAAAAUGUAGCCUUGUUCAGAGUACGCGGAAGUACACUUUUAUUUGUUUCAUUUUUGAUAUAUAUAGCUAUAUAUAGAAAUAACGAUUGCAUUUGUCAUUCAUCUCCUCCCUUAACUAUCUCUUUCAAUUUCAUAAUGUUAGCAACAUAAGAGCAAGAGAAGAGCGUGCGGGGAGGGGGAAACCUUAUGCAGCGUGAUGGCAUAGGUUUUUCUUUUGGUUUUUCCUUUUUUUUUCUUGAUAUGCGCCAAAAGAUUCUCACUCGACAACCCAGCCUCCCCGAUCGUUGAUUUGCUCCUAUUUUUCUAUUUCUCGAUUUUUGCUAGUGGG